Molecule: ribosomal RNA, 165 nt
Filed under: uncultured bacterium
Lineage: Bacteria
Description: partial 16S rRNA
Rfam family: Bacterial small subunit ribosomal RNA
Source: RNAcentral
UAGGGAAUCUUCGGCAAUGGACGAAAGUCUGACCGAGCAACGCCGCGUGAGUGAAGAAGGUUUUCGAAUCGUAAAACUCUGUUGGUAGAGAAGAACGUUGGUGAGAGUGGAAAGCUCAUCAAGUGACGGUAACUACCCAGAAAGGGACGGCUAACUACGUGCCAU